This 377-nucleotide ribosomal RNA is filed under the name uncultured bacterium. RNAcentral describes it as "bacterial SSU rRNA". It matches the Rfam family "Bacterial small subunit ribosomal RNA", at positions 30 to 408 of the family's 1533-position model. The record is from RNAcentral.
AUUGAACGCUGGCGGCAUGCCUUACACAUGCAAGUCGAACGGCAGCACGGGAGCAAUCCUGGUGGCGAGUGGCGAACGGGUGAGUAAUAUAUCGGAACGUGCCCGGUCGUGGGGAUAACGUAGCGAAAGCUACGCUAAUACCGCAUACGAUCUACGGAUGAAAGCGGGGGAUCGCAAGACCUCGCGCGAUUGGAGCGGCCGAUAUCAGAUUAGGUAGUUGGUGAGGUAAAGGCUCACCAAGCCGACGAUCUGUAGCUGGUCUAAGAGGACGACCAGCCACACUGGGACUGAGACACGGCCCAGACUCCUACGGGAGGCAGCAGUGGGGAAUUUUGGACAAUGGGCGCAAGCCUGAUCCAGCAAUGCCGCGUGCAGGA